AUUGGGUCAAUCCCUAUAAUCAUGUAUAUUUUAUUGAUCAUGUAUAUCUUAUCUAUAAUUGUAUAUAAAUACAUCACACAGCUUAAGAAAAUUAAUAAAGCUAUUAUUACACAAAUCUCUUCUUCCUCUUUUCUUUCAUGGUAUCAGAGCCUGGGUAUUGAAGCCCCUCUUAAUUUUCUUCAGUUUUCUCCUCUGUUUCAUUUCAAGAAACAGA
RNAcentral lists this unclassified non-coding RNA (214 nucleotides) under Hevea brasiliensis (rubber tree). Lineage: Eukaryota; Viridiplantae; Streptophyta; Magnoliopsida; Malpighiales; Euphorbiaceae. The record is from RNAcentral.